GGUUAAGUUAGAAAGGGCGCACGGUGGAUGCCUUGACACUAGGAGUCGAUGAAGGACGGGACUAACGCCGAUAUGCUUCGGGGAGCUGUAAGUAAGCUUUGAUCCGAAGAUUUCCGAAUGGGGAAACCCACCAUACGUAAUGGUAUGGUAUCCUUAUCUGAAUACAUAGGGUAAGGAAGACAGACCCAGGGAACUGAAACAUCUAAGUACCUGGAGGAAGAGAAAGCAAAUGCGAUUUCCUGAGUAGCGGCGAGCGAAACGGAACAUAGCCCAAACCAAGAGGCUUGCCUCUUGGGGUUGUAGGACAUUCUAUACGGAGUUACAAAGGAACGAGGUAGACGAAGCGACCUGGAAAGGUCCGUCGUAGAGGGUAACAACCCCGUAGUCGAAACUUCGUUCUCUCUUGAAUGUAUCCUGAGUACGGCGGAACACGUGAAAUUCCGUCGGAAUCUGGGAGGACCAUCUCCCAAGGCUAAAUACUCCCUAGUGAUCGAUAGUGAACCAGUACCGUGAGGGAAAGGUGAAAAGCACCCCGGAAGGGGAGUGAAAGAGAUCCUGAAACCGUGUGCCUACAAAUAGUCAGAGCCCGUUAACGGGUGAUGGCGUGCCUUUUGUAGAAUGAACCGGCGAGUUACGAUCCCGUGCGAGGUUAAGCUGAAGAGGCGGAGCCGCAGCGAAAGCGAGUCUGAAUAGGGCGUUUAGUACGUGGUCGUAGACCCGAAACCAGGUGAUCUACCCAUGUCCAGGGUGAAGUUCAGGUAACACUGAAUGGAGGCCCGAACCCACGCACGUUGAAAAGUGCGGGGAUGAGGUGUGGGUAGCGGAGAAAUUCCAAUCGAACCUGGAGAUAGCUGGUUCUCCCCGAAAUAGCUUUAGGGCUAGCCUUAAGUGUAAGAGUCUUGGAGGUAGAGCACUGAUUGGACUAGGGGUCCUCAUCGGAUUACCGAAUUCAGUCAAACUCCGAAUGCCAAUGACUUAUCCUUAGGAGUCAGACUGCGAGUGAUAAGAUCCGUAGUCAAAAGGGAAACAGCCCAGACCGCCAGCUAAGGUCCCAAAGUGUGUAUUAAGUGGAAAAGGAUGUGGAGUUGCUUAGACAACUAGGAUGUUGGCUUAGAAGCAGCCACCAUUUAAAGAGUGCGUAAUAGCUCACUAGUCGAGUGACUCUGCGCCGAAAAUGUACCGGGGCUAAAUACACCACCGAAGCUGCGGAUUGAUACCGAAUGGUAUCAGUGGUAGGGGAGCGUUCUAAGGACAGUGAAGUCAGACCGGAAGGACUGGUGGAGUGCUUAGAAGUGAGAAUGCCGGUAUGAGUAGCGAAAGACGGGUGAGAAUCCCGUCCACCGAAUGCCUAAGGUUUCCUGAGGAAGGCUCGUCCGCUCAGGGUUAGUCAGGACCUAAGCCGAGGCCGACAGGCGUAGGCGAUGGACAACAGGUUGAUAUUCCUGUACCACCUCUUUAUCGUUUGAGCAAUGGAGGGACGCAGAAGGAUAGAAGAAGCGUGCGAUUGGUUGUGCACGUCCAAGCAGUUAGGCUGAUAAGUAGGCAAAUCCGCUUAUCGUAAAGGCUGAGCUGUGAUGGGGAAGCUCCUUAUGGAGCGAAGUCUUUGAUUCCCCGCUGCCAAGAAAAGCUUCUAGCGAGAUAAAAGGUGCCUGUACCGCAAACCGACACAGGUAGGCGAGGAGAGAAUCCUAAGGUGUGCGAGAGAACUCUGGUUAAGGAACUCGGCAAAAUGACCCCGUAACUUCGGGAGAAGGGGUGCUUUCUUAACGGAAAGCCGCAGUGAAUAGGCCCAAGCGACUGUUUAGCAAAACACAGCUCUCUGCGAAGCCGUAAGGCGAAGUAUAGGGGGUGACACCUGCCCGGUGCUGGAAGGUUAAGGAGAGGGGUUAGCGUAAGCGAAGCUCUGAACUGAAGCCCCAGUAAACGGCGGCCGUAACUAUAACGGUCCUAAGGUAGCGAAAUUCCUUGUCGGGUAAGUUCCGACCCGCACGAAAGGUGUAACGAUUUGGGCACUGUCUCAACCAGAGACUCGGUGAAAUUAUAGUACCUGUGAAGAUGCAGGUUACCCGCGACAGGACGGAAAGACCCCGUGGAGCUUUACUGUAGCCUGAUAUUGAAUUUUGGUACAGUUUGUACAGGAUAGGCGGGAGCCUUUGAAACCGGAGCGCUAGCUUCGGUGGAGGCGCUGGUGGGAUACCGCCCUGACUGUAUUGAAAUUCUAACCUACGGGUCUUAUCGACCCGGGAGACAGUGUCAGGUGGGCAGUUUGACUGGGGCGGUCGCCUCCUAAAGUGUAACGGAGGCGCCCAAAGGUUCCCUCAGAAUGGUUGGAAAUCAUUCGUAGAGUGCAAAGGCAUAAGGGAGCUUGACUGCGAGACCUACAAGUCGAGCAGGGACGAAAGUCGGGCUUAGUGAUCCGGUGGUUCCGCAUGGAAGGGCCAUCGCUCAACGGAUAAAAGCUACCCCGGGGAUAACAGGCUUAUCUCCCCCAAGAGUCCACAUCGACGGGGAGGUUUGGCACCUCGAUGUCGGCUCAUCGCAUCCUGGGGCUGUAGUCGGUCCCAAGGGUUGGGCUGUUCGCCCAUUAAAGCGGUACGCGAGCUGGGUUCAGAACGUCGUGAGACAGUUCGGUCCCUAUCCGUCGUGGGCGUAGGAAAUUUGAGAGGAGCUGUCCUUAGUACGAGAGGACCGGGAUGGACGCACCGCUGGUGUACCAGUUGUUCUGCCAAGGGCAUAGCUGGGUAGCUAUGUGCGGAAGGGAUAAGUGCUGAAAGCAUCUAAGCAUGAAGCCCCCCUCAAGAUGAGAUUUCCCAUAGCGUAAGCUAGUAAGAUCCCUGAAAGAUGAUCAGGUUGAUAGGUUCGAGGUGGAAGCAUGGUGACAUGUGGAGCUGACGAAUACUAAUAGAUCGAGGACUUAACCAU
This 2922-nucleotide ribosomal RNA is filed under the name Bacillus paranthracis. Its description in RNAcentral is "23S ribosomal RNA". It matches the Rfam family "Bacterial large subunit ribosomal RNA". Lineage: Bacteria; Bacillati; Bacillota; Bacilli; Caryophanales; Bacillaceae. The record is from RNAcentral. RNAcentral also lists the same sequence under 1 other name.